Molecule: ribosomal RNA, 492 nt
Filed under: uncultured bacterium
Lineage: Bacteria
Description: partial 16S ribosomal RNA
Rfam family: Bacterial small subunit ribosomal RNA
Source: RNAcentral
AGUGAACGCUGGCGGUAGGCCUAACACAUGCAGGUCGAACGGCAGCACAGUAAGAGCUUGCUCUUACGGGUGGCGAGUGGCGGACGGGUGAGGAAUACAUCGGAAUCUACUUUUUCGUGGGGGAUAACGUAGGGAAACUUACGCUAAUACCGCAUACGACCUACGGGUUAAAGCAGGGGAUCUUCGGACCUUGCGCGAUUGAAUUAGCCGAUGUCGGAUUAGCUAGUUGGCGGGGUAAAGGCCCACCAAGGCGACGAUCCGUAGCUGGUCUGAGAGGAUGAUCAGCCACACUGGAACUGAGACACGGUCCAGACUCCUACGGGAGGCAGCAGUGGGGAAUAUUGGACAAUGGGCGCAAGCCUGAUCCAGCCAUACCGCGUGGGUGAAGAAGGCCUUCGGGUUGUAAAGCCCUUUUGUUGGGAAAGAAAAGCAGCAGGUUAAUACCCCGCUGUUCUGACGGUACCCAAAGAAUAAGCACCGGCUAACUUCGUG